RNAcentral lists this unclassified non-coding RNA (507 nucleotides) under Hevea brasiliensis (rubber tree). The record is from RNAcentral. Lineage: Eukaryota; Viridiplantae; Streptophyta; Magnoliopsida; Malpighiales; Euphorbiaceae.
GAAUUAAUCAGAGAACUAGUAGGAUGGAAAGAAAGGUUGCGAUCCAAAGAAGGGAAAGAGGUCAUGAUAAAAGCAGUAACAAAGUAAUUCCAGUAUAUGCCAUGUCAGCGUUUAUGCAAUCAAAUCAAUAGGAUUAAUGUAAAUUUUUGGUGGGGCCACAACCAAGAUUUGAGGAAAAUGCAUUGGACUUCAUGGCAUGAAAUGUGUGAGCCUAAGAGUAGAUGGGGGUUUUCGAGAUCUUGAGUGUUUUGACAGAGCUUUAUUAGCAAAACAAAGCUAGCGUAUCUUAGCUAACCCCAUAUCCCUUCUGACAAGGCUGUUAAAAGGAAAAUAUUUCCUGAACUCUUCUUUUUUGCAGGCUGCAGGCGCGCUAAGGUAGCAGAGCGUCAUGGGUUUGGCAAAGCAUCCUAUGGGAGCGUUCCAUUUUUCAGAAAGGAUCUCGUUGGCACGUUAACAAUGGAGCAUCUAUUUUGUGUAAAGAGGAUGUUUGGGUUCUAAUGCCUUCCU